GAUGAACGCUGGCGGCGUGCCUAAUACAUGCAAGUCGAGCGAACGGACGAGAAGCUUGCUUCUCUGAUGGUAGCGGCGGACGGGUGAGUAACACGUGGAUAACCUACCUAUAAGACUGGGAUAACUUCGGGAAACCGGAGCUAAUACCGGAUAAUAUUUUGAACCGCAUGGUUCAAAAGUGAAAGACGGUCUUGCUGUCACUUAUAGAUGGAUCCGCGCUGCAUUAGCUAGUUGGUAAGGUAACGGCUUACCAAGGCAACGAUGCAUAGCCGACCUGAGAGGGUGAUCGGCCACACUGGAACUGAGACACGGUCCAGACUCCAACGGGAGGCAGCAGUAGGGAAUCUUCCGCAAUGGGCGAAAGCCUGACGGAGCAACGCCGCGUGAGUGAUGAAGGUCUUCGGAUCGUAAAACUCUGUUAUUAGGGAAGAACAUAUGUGUAAGUAACUGUGCACAUCUUGACGGUACCUAAUCAGAAAGCCACAGCUAACUACGUGCCAGCAGCCGCGGUAAUACGUAGGUGGCAAGCGUUAUCCGGAAUUAUUGGGCGUAAAGCGCGCAUAGGCGGUUUUUUAGUCUGAUGUGAAAGCCCACGGCUCAACCGUGGAGGGUCAUUGGAAACUGGAAAACUUGAGUGCAGAAGAGGAAAGUGGAAUUCCAUGUGUAGCGGUGAAAUGCGCAGAGAUAUGGAGGAACACCAGUGGCGAAGGCGACUUUCUGGUCUGUAACUGACGCUGAUGUGCGAAAGCGUGGGGAUCAAACAGGAUUAGAUACCCUGGUAGUCCACGCCGUAAACGAUGAGUGCUAAGUGUUAGGGGGUUUCCGCCCCUUAGUGCUGCAGCUAACGCAUUAAGCACUCCGCCUGGGGAGUACGACCGCAAGGUUGAAACUCAAAGGAAUUGACGGGGACCCGCACAAGCGGUGGAGCAUGUGGUUUAAUUCGAAGCAACGCGAAGAACCUUACCAAAUCUUGACAUCCUUUGACAACUCUAGAGAUAGAGCCUUCCCCUUCGGGGGACAAAGUGACAGGUGGUGCAUGGUUGUCGUCAGCUCGUGUCGUGAGAUGUUGGGUUAAGUCCCGCAACGAGCGCAACCCUUAAGCUUAGUUGCCAUCAUUAAGUUGGGCACCCUAAGUUGACUGCCGGUGACAAACCGGAGGAAGGUGGGGAUGACGUCAAAUCAUCAUGCCCCUUAUGAUUUGGGCUACACACGUGCUACAAUGGACAAUACAAAGGGCAGCGAAACCGCGAGGUCAAGCAAAUCCCAUAAAGUUGUUCUCAGUUCGGAUUGUAGUCUGCAACUCGACUACAUGAAGCUGGAAUCGCUAGUAAUCGUAGAUCAGCAUGCUACGGUGAAUACGUUCCCGGGUCU
This 1371-nucleotide ribosomal RNA is filed under the name uncultured bacterium. RNAcentral describes it as "bacterial SSU rRNA". It matches the Rfam family "Bacterial small subunit ribosomal RNA", at positions 28 to 1381 of the family's 1533-position model. The record is from RNAcentral.